This 30-nucleotide non-coding RNA is filed under the name Homo sapiens (human). Lineage: Eukaryota; Metazoa; Chordata; Mammalia; Primates; Hominidae. The record is from RNAcentral.
UGAAAAGUGUCCGGUGCAACAAUGAGGGCC